AUACAUGCAAGUCGAGCGCAGGAAGUUAUCUGAUCCUCUUUUAGAGGUGACGAUAAUGGAAUGAGCGGCGGACGGGUGAGUAACACGUAGGCAACCUGCCUGUAAGACUGGGAUAACUCGUGGAAACGCGAGCUAAUACCGGAUAACACUUUUCAUCUCCUGAUGAGAAGUUGAAAGGCGGCUUUUGCUGUCACUUACAGAUGGGCCUGCGGCGCAUUAGCUAGUUGGUAAGGUAAUGGCUUACCAAGGCGACGAUGCGUAGCCGACCUGAGAGGGUGAUCGGCCACACUGGGACUGAGACACGGCCCAGACUCCUACGGGAGGCAGCAGUAGGGAAUCUUCCGCAAUGGACGAAAGUCUGACGGAGCAACGCCGCGUGAGUGAUGAAGGUUUUCGGAUCGUAAAACU
RNAcentral lists this ribosomal RNA (408 nucleotides) under Bacillus sp. CSC9. RNAcentral's name for it is "bacterial SSU rRNA". It matches the Rfam family "Bacterial small subunit ribosomal RNA", at positions 51 to 432 of the family's 1533-position model. Lineage: Bacteria; Bacillati; Bacillota; Bacilli; Caryophanales; Bacillaceae. The record is from RNAcentral.